AUACGGAGGCUGCAAGCGUUACUCGGAAUCACUGGGCGUAAAGCGCGCGCAGGCGGCUAUUUAAGUUGGAUGUGAAAGCCUACGGCUCAACCGUAGAACUGCAUCCAAAACUAUUUAGCUAGAGUGUGGGAGAGGAGGAUGGAAUUAGUUGUGUAGGGGUAAAAUCCGUAGAGAUAACUAGGAAUACCAAAAGCGAAGGCAAUCUUCUGGAACACUACUGACGCUGAGGCGCGAAAGCGUGGGGAGCAAUCGGGAUUAGAAACCCUAGUAGUCC
Molecule: ribosomal RNA, 274 nt
Filed under: uncultured bacterium
Lineage: Bacteria
Description: partial 16S ribosomal RNA
Rfam family: Bacterial small subunit ribosomal RNA
Source: RNAcentral